This 498-nucleotide ribosomal RNA is filed under the name uncultured bacterium. RNAcentral's name for it is "partial 16S ribosomal RNA". It matches the Rfam family "Bacterial small subunit ribosomal RNA", at positions 27 to 507 of the family's 1533-position model. The record is from RNAcentral.
GGAUGAACGCUGGCGGCGUGCCUAAUACAUUCAAGUCGAGCGAACGGACGAGAAGCUUGCUUUUCUGAUGUUAGCGGCGGACGGGUGAGUAACACGUGGAUAACCUACCUAUAAGACUGGGAUAACUUCGGGAAACCGGAGCUAAUACCGGAUAAUAUUUUGAACCGCAUGGUUCAAAAGUGAAAGACGGUCUUGCUGUCACUUAUAGAUGGAUCCGCGCUGCAUUAGCUAGUUGGUAAGGUAACGGCUUACCAAGGCAACGAUGCAUAGCCGACCUGAGAGGGUGAUCGGCCACACUGGAACUGAGACACGGUCCAGACUCCUACGGGAGGCAGCAGUAGGGAAUCUUCCGCAAUGGGCGAAAGCCUGACGGAGCAACGCCGCGUGAGUGAUGAAGGUCUUCGGAUCGUAAAACUCUGUUAUUAGGGAAGAACAUAUGUGUAAGUAACUGUGCACAUCUUGACGGUACCUAAUCAGAAAGCCACGGCUAACUACGUG